This is a non-coding RNA of Doryrhamphus excisus (bluestripe pipefish), 4543 nucleotides long. Lineage: Eukaryota; Metazoa; Chordata; Actinopteri; Syngnathiformes; Syngnathidae. The record is from RefSeq and is a predicted model, not a curated record.
UUCGGGGCGGUGGGCGGACCCGCUAACGCCAUUUGUCGACCCACAAAGUCAGCCAGUCAGUCAGUCAGUAAGUAGCGAGCGAACGAACUGUCAACGCCACGGGCCGACAGACGAGUAGUACCCAGCUUGAACGCGUCUUUCCUCGGACUGACUCCUGUCAUGGCAGCCCUGGAGAGGAGGCCUCUCCUGAGCGGCUCCGUCUAAAGGCUGGGCUGUGACAGCUAGCUGCUAGCUAGUUAGCUAUGUAAGCCUUUACCUGCUCCAUCGUCUGGCGGCCAAACGGAUUCCAGCCGGUGGACUUUAGAGGAAUAUUUGACAACUGUAUUUUCCACGGAUAACCAUUCGAGCACAGGGAACACUUUAAUCUAAGAGUUUUUUUAUUUGCAUCAAUCUAAGGCGGAUCGACACAUUUUAGCUGCACUGACAACGGAUGUCCUAGAGAACGGAUGCGUGAGGACAUGUCCACCAUGGUGUGCGUGAAGGCGGAGGAGGACCCUGGUGAGAAGCUGUCCCAGGAUGAGAUCAUCUCCCGCACCAAGCAGGUGAUCCAGGGCCUGGAGGCCCUGAAGCAGGAGCACCACUCCAUCCUGGAGGGCUUGCUGGGAACGCUGCGCUGCCUAAAGCAGGAUGAGGAGGGCGUGCUGGUAGAGGAGAAGUCGCACAUGAUCCGCAAGUCCCUGGAGAUGCUGGAGCUUGGACUUAGCGAGGCACAGGUGAUGAUGGCUCUGUCCAGCCACCUGAGCUCGGUGGAGUCUGAGAAGCAGAAGCUUCGGGCUCAGGUGCGCCGCCUGUGCCAGGAGAACCAGUGGCUGAGAGACGAGCUGGCUGGCACCCAGCAGAAACUGCAGAAGAGCGAGCAGAGCGUGGCCCAGCUGGAAGAGGAGAAGAAGCACCUGGAGUUCAUGAACCAGCUGAAGAAGUACGAUGAAGACCUGUCUCCCUCAGAAGAGAAGAACUCGGAUUCCAGCAAAGAGACUCUGGAUGAUCUCUUCCCAGAUGACCAUGAUGACCAAGGUCCAGGCAUCCAGCCAACUCAUGGCAGCGCGGCUGCAGCCGCCGCCCAGCAGGGUGGCUACGAGAUCCCGGCCCGUCUGAGGACCCUCCACAACCUUGUGAUCCAGUACGCCUCCCAGGGCAGGUAUGAGGUGGCUGUGCCGCUCUGCAAACAGGCCCUGGAGGACCUGGAGAAGACGUCCGGACACGACCACCCGGAUGUGGCCACCAUGCUGAACAUUCUGGCCCUUGUGUACAGAGAUCAGAACAAAUACAAGGAGGCCGCCAACCUGCUGAAUGAUGCCCUGGCCAUCAGGGAGAAGACCCUGGGCCGGGACCACCCUGCUGUUGCCGCCACCCUCAAUAACCUGGCUGUGCUGUACGGGAAGAGAGGCAAGUACAAGGAGGCGGAGCCUCUUUGCAAGAGAGCACUGGAGAUCAGAGAGAAGGUGCUGGGAAAAGACCACCCGGACGUGGCCAAGCAGCUGAACAACCUGGCCUUGCUGUGCCAGAACCAGGGCAAGUACGAGGAGGUGGAGUACUACUACAUGAGAGCACUGGAGAUCUACCAAACCAAACUGGGACCUGACGACCCCAAUGUGGCCAAAACCAAGAACAACCUGGCUUCCUGUUACCUUAAGCAGGGCAAGUUCAAGCAAGCAGAGACUCUUUACAAAGAAAUCCUCACUCGGGCCCACGAGAGGGAGUUUGGCUCCGUUGAUGGUGAGAACAAACCAAUUUGGAUGCACGCCGAGGAGAGAGAGGAACAAAGCAAGGGGAAGCAGAAGGAUGGCACGCCGUUUGGAGAGUAUGGAGGCUGGUACAAAGCUUGUAAAGUCGACAGCCCCACGGUGACCACCACCCUGAAGAACCUGGGUGCACUCUACAAGCGGCAGGGCAAGUUUGAAGCAGCCGAGACUCUGGAGGAAGCUGCCAUGCGUUCCAGGAAGCAGGGUCUGGACACCGUGCACAAGCAGCGCGUGGCCGACGUCCUGAGCGAGCCAGAGGCCCGCGAGAAGCAGCGCAGCCGGGAGAGCCUGACUUCCGACACGGUCAAGUACGAGAGCGGGCCUGACGGCGGCGAGGAAGACGGCUCGGGGGCGUUGAAGAGGAGCGGCUCCUUCAGCAAGUUGCGAGCGUCCAUCCGCCGCAGCAGCGAGAAGCUGGUGCGCAAGCUGAAGGGUGGCGGCGGAUCACCUCGGGACUGCGAGCCCAAAAACCCUGGGUAACUAUCCCCAACCCCACCCCACCCGAGACAUCAGGGGCACCAAGGCGGAGCGCCGGGCCAUGCUAAAGAGGGAUUUGCUGGUGAAGCUGUUUGCACACAAAACAAUGGAGGCAGAUUCCUAUUCUCUCCUUUUGCAUCGCUACUUUCCUUGCAGGGGAUUUGAUACGAGAAUGCUGACAAAGCACUAUGGUGAUGCAAUGCGCAUAACGUACACACAGUGCAUUUCAGUGCCUGGUUAUGUCCACUAAUAUCUAUUUAUUGCACCGUGGGGCUUUCCUGGGGGUUAUUUUAUUCAUUCAUAAACUUGGAUUUAUGAAAUUCACAUUGGACUCUACUGUGGGGCUUUUUAUUUGAUCUUAUUUUCCAUUCUCGCUGGGUGCUUUUUCAUUUGGAAGUCUUUGUUUGCAUGGCUAUAUUUUUAUUUAAGAAGAAUAAAUGUUAUUUGAAUGUGGCGCAGCAUGUCCCACUGUGUGUGUUUGUGUCUGGGUGUGUACACGCAGGCUGUGGUGUCACUUUCUGCUUCCUGUACGCCUUUUUCUGGCACUUCCUGAUGGAGAGAUGAUGUCACAGCCACCACCGUCAUCAUCACGUGUCAUUGACAUAUUUAUCAUGUUUUAUUCAUGCCUAUUUACUUCAUAAUUGUACUAAUACUAGUACUAAAAUAACUAACCGUGUGUGUUGUUUAUUAACCAACGCUCAAUGUUCCACCCCCGCCUCACCUCUGAAACCUGACCUCUCAUGACCCUCCCCCGCAUGGCGCCAUUUGGGGGUGCAGCUUGAAGCGAGCCAGCUCACUCGGGGUUCUAAACGUGGCGGACGAGGCGCUAACUGACCAUUACCAAGAACGAAAUCAUCGUCUGAGAAAGAGUCGCGACCUGAGUGCCAGCCACACGGACCUGGCGCAUUGAAGGUCUUGUUGACGGAUGGAGGCUUAAAGGUCACAGAGGACACAGGUUCUUCCAUCUUCAUUGUUGUAAAUAAAAAUGCUUUGUUUGACACACACAGCUUGCAAAGCUUCCACGAGGACAUAUCAUGUCAUAACAUGAACAUGGCUGCUGUAGCUCCUUAAGUGGCUUUUUAAAGUGUGCUGAAGCGUUUAUGUGUCACUACUCCAUUUUUGCAUUUGUCUUUUUUGUUUGGAAAGACUUGCUUUAAGAUGUUUCUUACGUUUCCUUUUGAAGACUUGGUCUUGGUUAAAUGAAGUUUACAUGUUGGGCUUCUGGUGAGUGUGUUUGCAAGGAUGCUGUUCAAGGGGCACAUGAAGACGGCACUCUCAGGACUUCAUCUGUGGUAGUUUGACGCACUGACUCGCUUCUGUGUUGGAGAUCACGAGUUAAGCUAUUAGCGUUUACUCCGGAGAAACAAUCCCAUGUUUCUCCAAGUGCUACCUCGGUUUUCGUAGGUCUCGGUGCCCGGUAUAUGGCAGUGUGCCUCACAAAUUCAACCCAAGCAAAGCUUCUAUAAAGAAUAGUGGUUAUUUUAAGAGUUGGGACAUUGGGAAUUGAUUCAUUCUCAAACAGUUUUUGUCAGAUCUUUUGGGCCGGAUUAAUGAAAACUGAGGUUCCACUCUGUACAAAUAGGCUGCACAACAGCAACCAUUUAGUUGCUUUAACCUUCAUCGUCAGAUGGAUGUCACAUGAUCUUGAUGAUGUAGUCCCAUAAUGACUCCAGUCAGCCCUUGAUAGUUUUACUUUUGAUGUUACACAUGUGGUGUGUAAAAUGCGACCAAAAGAGGACUUAAUGCUUUUACUACAAUAUAUUUGUUGUUCAUACUUUUUGCAGGGCUGUGCAAUAAGCUUUGGUCAGAAUGUAAAAAAAUGUAGUUACUAUGAAGGCUGUUGUUCCUUACAACAUUGUUUUGUGCGAAACACUCAAAUGUAAAUAGAGGAAUGCAUAUAAUACACAUUAAUAUUCAGUCUGUAGUACAAAAUUGUAUUUUUUUCUUUUUUAGGGAAAUGACAUGCACUUCAUUGCUGACUGUUGAUCAGUCUGUUAAGUCAUUAUUGAUGGUCUGAUGGUGGCGACGGAGGGAGAAACAACAUUUUUGGAGUGUAAAGUUGAGAAUUAUGACCGAUUUGAAACUCAAGUCAGAAUGUGACUUUUUCAAGGCACAGUGCCACCAGGUGGUGAUGAAAUGUAACUGGCAGUGAUGCAUCAGCAAAACUACAAUAUUGUUUCUUCUGACACGCCUAUUUUUAACACUUCUUCCUUCCUGUGAUUGUGUGCAGAUUGUGUAGAAUCUAUUGCUACUACAUGUGCAGAAAUGUUGAAAAGCACGGAUUAACUGUUACUGAAGAAUAAAACGGUGUGGUUUGUUCUGUA